GGGGUUGACUGGAUUUGACAGCGGGCAGAAAUGGUAAGUAAGCAUGCAGUGCGUCGUUGAUUUGCACUUAAAUCUCAGUCUUCAAAAUUUUAUCUGGCGAAACUAAUUACGCUCUUGCUGCUUAAUCGAAUCAUAGUAGAUUAGCUUAAUCCCGGCACAAGGUGCCGGGACGAGACAUCACUCGGAAGCUGUUGCUCCGAAGCAUUCCGGUUCAGUGGUGCAGUCACAUCGGGGAUAGUUCGUGCCAGCCUCGUGGCGCGAAUGAAAAUUUAGAGGAUAAGGCUGCGAUUGAUGGCUUUGAUUCUGUCGCAGCACGAAAACCCAGGCAAAGAUAAGCAUGUAGAAAGCUUAUGAUUUCCUCGUUUGGACGAGGGUUCGAUUCCCUCCAGCUCCACAA
Molecule: transfer-messenger RNA, 397 nt
Filed under: Prevotella heparinolytica
Lineage: Bacteria; Pseudomonadati; Bacteroidota; Bacteroidia; Bacteroidales; Prevotellaceae
Description: Bacteroides heparinolyticus Standard tmRNA
Rfam family: transfer-messenger RNA
About the family: Bacterial tmRNA, also known as 10Sa RNA or SsrA, is named for its dual tRNA and mRNA-like properties.
Source: RNAcentral